AACCAGAGGACACCCCUCGGCAGCCUAUAGAGGCUCAUCUAUAGUAUACAAAAAGUUUUGAUGAUCAGACCUCAGAAUUAUCAAGAGUGGCGUUUCAGGAAAGUUUGGAUAGUCAACUUCAGCUAGUUUGUUACGCUACUGUCAACUCCCUGAUGGACUGAAAAAGAGGGAGACUCUGAGGUGACAGCGGGCGGGACUUCUGGAUUCAUGUUCUCAAGGGUCUUGUAUUGGGCAUGGUGGCGCAUGCCUGUAAUCCCAGUGGUUUGGGAGGCUGAGGCAGGAGGAAAGUUCAAAGUCAGCCUCAGCAAAAAAGCGAGGUGCUAAGCAAGUCAGUGAGACCAUGUCUCUAUAUAAAAUACAAAAAAUAGGGCCAGGGAUGUGGCUCAGUGGUCAAACGCCCCUGAGUUCAGUCACCAUCAUCACCCCCCUCCCCUGCAAAACAAAAUUGAGUCUUGUGAUCCUGGAUUCCCUUCAGUCUUUGAUCUUUUGAAGUGACCCACUCCUUCAAGAAUAUCCUUACUCUUACCUAAAGAUGGUGCAGGGAAUCAGGGGACUGUAAAUCAAAACCACACUAAGCGUUCAUUUCACUCCAGUCAGAAGAUCAAUUAUUAAGAACACAAAUAAUAGUAAAUGUUAGUGAGGAUGUGGAGAAAAACAUACACUCACAUUUUUGGUGGGAUUGCAAUUUAGUACAACCUCUCUGGAAACCAGUAUGGAGAUUCCUCAAGAAAGUAGGAAUUAAAUCACCAUACUACCCAGCUCUCCCACUCCUUGGUAUUUAUCCAAAAGAACUAAAAUCAGCAUACCAUGGUGAUACAGGCACUUCAAUGUCUUUGCAGCACAAUUCAC
RNAcentral lists this long non-coding RNA (849 nucleotides) under Marmota monax (woodchuck). The record is from RNAcentral. Lineage: Eukaryota; Metazoa; Chordata; Mammalia; Rodentia; Sciuridae.